CCACAAUAGAAUUCUUAUAUGCAACAUUUCCUAAGUAUUGGACCACACUAAUAUUAUAUAAAAGAGAUGGAUCUAAAUGAUAUUAUUCCUCCAUUAUCUUCUCCACUUUGCGACUUUCUCUGUUUCUCACCUAGCAACAGUGACAUUUGCAGAUCCAGUCACAUAUACAGAUCCAAACAAAGCUAAUAAAAUCAAAUACAAUUAAUAAUAUAAUACAGUAAUAAUAAGUAAAGCAACCAUGAAAUUACAAAAGAUUAAAGAGUCAUUUAAAAAAAAAAAAGACCCAUUUCAAAAAAAAAGAAAAAGAGAGAAAGCACAUCAAGUAAGUGAGUUGGCUGGCUGGCGAGGGAGCAAUGGAAGGAACGAUAGCGGCAGGUCGGCAGUAUCAGCCACCAGCAGAUGGAGUUAAGAUUUGGGUGUGUGGUUUGUGCGGUCAUGGUUUUGUGUAGUUGAAAGUGAGAGAUUGG
RNAcentral lists this long non-coding RNA (467 nucleotides) under Citrus maxima (pomelo). Its description in RNAcentral is "long non-coding RNA (CMAX_LNC002658)". Lineage: Eukaryota; Viridiplantae; Streptophyta; Magnoliopsida; Sapindales; Rutaceae. The record is from RNAcentral.